GAUGAAGAACGCAGUGAAAUGCGAUAAGUAGUGUGAAUUGCAGAAUUCAGUGAAUCAUCGAAUCUUUGAACGCACAUUGCGCCCUUUGGUAUUCCAAAGGGCAUGCCUGUUCGAGCGUCAUUUGUACCCUCAAGCUUUGCUUGGUGUUGGGCGUCUUGUCUCCAGUCCGCUGGAGACUCGCCUUAAAAUCAUUGGCAGCCGGCCUACUGGUUUCGGAGCGCAGCACAAGUCGCACUCUUUUCCAGCCAAGGUCAGUGUCCAACAAGCCUUUUUUCAACUUUUGACCUCGGAUCAGGUAGGGAUACCCGCUGAACUUAAGCAUAUCAAUAAGCGGAGGA
This 338-nucleotide unclassified non-coding RNA is filed under the name soil metagenome. Its description in RNAcentral is "partial contains 5.8S ribosomal RNA, internal transcribed spacer 2, and large subunit ribosomal RNA". The stretch from base 1 to 120 matches the Rfam family "5.8S ribosomal RNA", at positions 35 to 154 of the family's 154-position model. The record is from RNAcentral.